Molecule: ribosomal RNA, 235 nt
Filed under: uncultured bacterium
Lineage: Bacteria
Description: partial 16S ribosomal RNA
Rfam family: Bacterial small subunit ribosomal RNA
Source: RNAcentral
UGGCGGACGGGUGAGUAAUGUCUGGGAAACUGCCCGAUGGAGGGGGAUAACUACUGGAAACGGUAGCUAAUACCGCAUAACGUCGCAAGACCAAAGAGGGGGACCUUCGGGCCUCUUGCCAUCGGAUGAACCCAUAUGGGAUUAGCUUGUAGGUAAGGUAACGGCUUACCUAGGCGACGAUCCCUAGCUGGUCUGAGAGGAUGACCAGCCACACUGGAACUGAGACACGGUCCAG